ACUCAAAGGAAUUGACGGGGACCCGCACAAGCGGUGGAUGAUGUGGAUUAAUUCGAUGCAACGCGAACAACCUUACCUACCCUUGACAUGUCCUGGACCUGGCCGAGAGGCUAGGGUGCCCGAAAGGGAACGGGAACACAGGUGCUGCAUGGCUGUCGUCAGCUCGUGUCGUGAGAUGUUGGGUUAAGUCCCGCAACGAGCGCAACCCUUAUCAUUAGUUGCUACGAGAAGGGCACUCUAAUGAGACUGCCGGUGACAAACCGGAGGAAGGUGGGGAUGACGUCAAGUCCUCAUGGCCCUUAUGGGUAGGGCUUCACACGUCAUACAAUGGCCGGUACAGAGGGCUGCCAAAGCGCGAGCUGGAGCCAAUCCCAGAAAGCCGGUCGUAGUCCGGAUUGCAGUCUGCAACUCGACUGCAUGAAGUCGGAAUCGCUAGUAAUCGCGGAUCAGCAUGUCGCGGUGAAUACGUUCCCGGGUCUUGUACACACCGCCCGU
Molecule: ribosomal RNA, 495 nt
Filed under: uncultured bacterium
Lineage: Bacteria
Description: partial 16S ribosomal RNA
Rfam family: Bacterial small subunit ribosomal RNA
Source: RNAcentral